This 548-nucleotide ribosomal RNA is filed under the name uncultured bacterium. Its description in RNAcentral is "bacterial SSU rRNA". It matches the Rfam family "Bacterial small subunit ribosomal RNA", at positions 355 to 895 of the family's 1533-position model. The record is from RNAcentral.
UAGGGAAUCUUCGGCAAUGGGGGCAACCCUGACCGAGCAACGCCGCGUGAGUGAAGAAGGUUUUCGGAUCGUAAAGCUCUGUUGUAAGUCAAGAACGAGUGUGAGAGUGGAAAGUUCACACUGUGACGGUAGCUUACCAGAAAGGGACGGCUAACUACGUGCCAGCAGCCGCGGUAAUACGUAGGUCCCGAGCGUUGUCCGGAUUUAUUGGGCGUAAAGCGAGCACAGGCGGUUUGAUAAGUCUGAAGUUAAAGGCUGUGGCUCAACCAUAGUUCGCUUUGGAAACUGUCAAACUUGAGUGCAGAAGGGGAGAGUGGAAUUCCAUGUGUAGCGGUGAAAUGCGUAGAUAUAUGGAGGAACACCGGUGGCGAAAGCGGCUCUCUGGUCUGUAACUGACGCUGAGGCUCGAAAGCGUGGGGAGCGAACAGGAUUAGAUACCCUGGUAGUCCACGCCGUANCGAUGAGUGCUAGGUGUUGGAUCCUUUCCGGGAUUCAGUGCCGCAGCUAACGCAUUAAGCACUCCGCCUGGGGAGUACNACCGCAAGGUU